This 1999-nucleotide ribosomal RNA is filed under the name Escherichia coli. RNAcentral's name for it is "partial 23S ribosomal RNA". It matches the Rfam family "Bacterial large subunit ribosomal RNA", at positions 948 to 2925 of the family's 2925-position model. Lineage: Bacteria; Pseudomonadati; Pseudomonadota; Gammaproteobacteria; Enterobacterales; Enterobacteriaceae. The record is from RNAcentral. RNAcentral also lists the same sequence under 1 other name.
UGCAAACUGCGAAUACCGGAGAAUGUUAUCACGGGAGACACACGGCGGGUGCUAACGUCCGUCGUGAAGAGGGAAACAACCCAGACCGCCAGCUAAGGUCCCAAAGUCAUGGUUAAGUGGGAAACGAUGUGGGAAGGCCCAGACAGCCAGGAUGUUGGCUUAGAAGCAGCCAUCAUUUAAAGAAAGCGUAAUAGCUCACUGGUCGAGUCGGCCUGCGCGGAAGAUGUAACGGGGCUAAACCAUGCACCGAAGCUGCGGCAGCGACGCUUAUGCGUUGUUGGGUAGGGGAGCGUUCUGUAAGCCUGUGAAGGUGUGCUGUGAGGUAUGCUGGAGGUAUCAGAAGUGCGAAUGCUGACAUAAGUAACGAUAAAGCGGGUGAAAAGCCCGCUCGCCGGAAGACCAAGGGUUCCUGUCCAACGUUAAUCGGGGCAGGGUGAGUCGACCCCUAAGGCGAGGCCGAAAGGCGUAGUCGAUGGGAAACAGGUUAAUAUUCCUGUACUUGGUGUUACUGCGAAGGGGGGACGGAGAAGGCUAUGUUGGCCGGGCGACGGUUGUCCCGGUUUAAGCGUGUAGGCUGGUUUUCCAGGCAAAUCCGGAAAAUCAAGGCCGAGGCGUGAUGACGAGGCACUACGGUGCUGAAGCAACAAAUGCCCUGCUUCCAGGAAAAGCCUCUAAGCAUCAGGUAACAUCAAAUCGUACCCCAAACCGACACAGGUGGUCAGGUAGAGAAUACCAAGGCGCUUGAGAGAACUCGGGUGAAGGAACUAGGCAAAAUGGUGCCGUAACUUCGGGAGAAGGCACGCUGAUACGUAGGUGAAGCGACUUGCUCGUGGAGCUGAAAUCAGUCGAAGAUACCAGCUGGCUGCAACUGUUUAUUAAAAACACAGCACUGUGCAAACACGAAAGUGGACGUAUACGGUGUGACGCCUGCCCGGUGCCGGAAGGUUAAUUGAUGGGGUUAGCGCAAGCGAAGCUCUUGAUCGAAGCCCCGGUAAACGGCGGCCGUAACUAUAACGGUCCUAAGGUAGCGAAAUUCCUUGUCGGGUAAGUUCCGACCUGCACGAAUGGCGUAAUGAUGGCCAGGCUGUCUCCACCCGAGACUCAGUGAAAUUGAACUCGCUGUGAAGAUGCAGUGUACCCGCGGCAAGACGGAAAGACCCCGUGAACCUUUACUAUAGCUUGACACUGAACAUUGAGCCUUGAUGUGUAGGAUAGGUGGGAGGCUUUGAAGUGUGGACGCCAGUCUGCAUGGAGCCGACCUUGAAAUACCACCCUUUAAUGUUUGAUGUUCUAACGUGGACCCGUGAUCCGGGUUGCGGACAGUGUCUGGUGGGUAGUUUGACUGGGGCGGUCUCCUCCUAAAGAGUAACGGAGGAGCACGAAGGUUGGCUAAUCCUGGUCGGACAUCAGGAGGUUAGUGCAAUGGCAUAAGCCAGCUUGACUGCGAGCGUGACGGCGCGAGCAGGUGCGAAAGCAGGUCAUAGUGAUCCGGUGGUUCUGAAUGGAAGGGCCAUCGCUCAACGGAUAAAAGGUACUCCGGGGAUAACAGGCUGAUACCGCCCAAGAGUUCAUAUCGACGGCGGUGUUUGGCACCUCGAUGUCGGCUCAUCACAUCCUGGGGCUGAAGUAGGUCCCAAGGGUAUGGCUGUUCGCCAUUUAAAGUGGUACGCGAGCUGGGUUUAGAACGUCGUGAGACAGUUCGGUCCCUAUCUGCCGUGGGCGCUGGAGAACUGAGGGGGGCUGCUCCUAGUACGAGAGGACCGGAGUGGACGCAUCACUGGUGUUCGGGUUGUCAUGCCAAUGGCACUGCCCGGUAGCUAAAUGCGGAAGAGAUAAGUGCUGAAAGCAUCUAAGCACGAAACUUGCCCCGAGAUGAGUUCUCCCUGACCCUUUAAGGGUCCUGAAGGAACGUUGAAGACGACGACGUUGAUAGGCCGGGUGUGUAAGCGCAGCGAUGCGUUGAGCUAACCGGUACUAAUGAACCGUGAGGCUUAACCUU